This 2780-nucleotide ribosomal RNA is filed under the name Candidatus Pseudoramibacter fermentans. RNAcentral describes it as "23S ribosomal RNA". It matches the Rfam family "Bacterial large subunit ribosomal RNA". Lineage: Bacteria; Bacillati; Bacillota; Clostridia; Eubacteriales; Eubacteriaceae. The record is from RNAcentral.
AGGUAAGUUAUAAAGGGCGCAUGGUGAAUGCCUUGGUAUAGGAGCCGAUGAAGGACGGGACUAACACCGAUAUGCUUCGGGGAGUGGUAAGUACCUUUGAUCCGGAGAUUUCCGAAUGGGGAAACCCAAUCAUCUUAGUCGUAGUUCCUAUUAGUGAAUACAUAGCUAAGUAGGGUAGACGCAGUGAACUGAAACAUCUAAGAGCUGCAGGAGAAGAAAGAAAAAUCGAUUCCCUGAGUAGCGGCGAGCGAAACGGGAAGAGCCCAAACCAACGAGCUUGCUGUUGGGGUUGUAGGACUGAACAUUUGAGUUACCAAGUGAGACGUAGUCGAAUAGCUGGGAAGCACAGGCGCGGGUGAUACCCGUAACGAAACCGUACUCUCAGUUCAGGAUCCUGAGACGGGGACACGUGAAACCGUCGGAAUCCGGAGGACCAUCUCCCAAGGCUAAUACUCCCUAGUGACCGUAGUGAACCAGUACCGUGAGGGAAAGGUGAAAAGCACCCCGGAAGGGGAGUGAAACAGUUCCUGAAACCAUGUGCCUACAACAGUGGAGCCUUAAUGGUGACGGCGUGCCUUUGUAGAAUGAACCGGCGAGUUACGAUGCAUGCCAGGUUAAGGUGGAAAAACCGGAGCGUAGCGAAAGCGAGUCUGAAAUGGGCGUAGAAGUAGUUGUUGUAACCCGAACCAGGUGACCUACCCAGUCCAGGUUGAAGGUGCGGUAAAACGCACUGGAGGACCGAACCGUUCAGUUGAAAAUGGUGGGUGAGGUGUGGGUAGCGGUGAAAUUCAAACGAACUUGGAGAUAGCUGGUUCUCUCCGAAAUCUUUAGGGGAGCCUCGGAUAGAAUCAUGGAGGUAGAGCAUGUUUGGACUAGGGCCCGUCAUGGGUUACUGAAUUCAGAUAAACUCCGAAUGCCAUUGAUUUUACUCGGGAGUCAACGGUGAGUGAUAAGUCCAUGGUAAAGGGGAACAGCCCAGAUCACAGUAAGGUCCCUAAAUAUAUGCUAAGUGGAAAAGGUAGUGGAUUGCAGACAACUAGGAUGUUGGCUCAAAGCAGCCAUCAUUUAAAGAGUGCGUAAUAGCUCACUAGUCGAGUGAUCUGCCGCGAAAAUGUACCGGGGCUAAGCAUAUUACCGACUGGAUGAUCCUAGGAUGCGUGGUAGGAGAGCGUUCAAGGGCAUGAAGUCAGACCGUAGGACGGUGGAGCGCUUGAAGUGAGAAUGCCGGUAUGAGUAGCGAAAGACAGGUGAGAACUUGUCCACCGAAUGACUAAGGUUUCCUGGGGAAGGCUCGUCCUCCCAGGGUAGUCGGGACCUAAGUCGAGGCCGAAGGCGUGACGAUGGAAACAGGUUGAUAUUCCUGUACCAGUUGAAUGUGUUUGAAGAUGAGGGACGCAAGAGGCUAAGCAACCGACGAUUGGAAGUUGGCCAAGCAGCAAGUCUUGUUGAGUGAAAUGCUUAUCAGCGUGACAAGUGUGAUGGGGAGCGAAAUUAAGUAGCGAAGUUGAUGUCACCUUCCGAGAAAAGCUUCUAGGAAUAUCAACUGCCCGUACCGCAAAACGACACAGGUAGUCGAGGAGAGAUCCUAAGGUGAGCGAGGAAAUCUCGUUAAGGAACUCGGCAAAAUGACCCCGUAACUUCGGGAGAAGGGGUGCUGAUCGCAGUGAGCCGCAGUGUGAAAGGCCCAGGCGACUGUUUAUCAAAAACACAGGUUUCUGCAAAAUCGUAAGAUGAAGUAUAGGGGCUGACGCCUGCCCGGUGCUGGAAGGUUAAAGGGAGGUUAGCUUCGGCGAAGCUCGAAUUGAAGCCCCAGUAAACGGCGGCCGUAACUAUAACGGUCCUAAGGUAGCGAAAUUCCUGUCGGGUAAGUUCCGACCCGCACGAAAGGCGUAACGAUCUGGGCACUGUCUCAACGAGAGACUCGGUGAAAUUGAUAUCCUGUGAAGAAGCAGUACCCGCGACAGGACGGAAAGACCCCAUGGAGCUUUACUGUAGCUUGAUUUGAGUGUUGUACCGCUUGUACAGGAUAGGUAGGAGCCUAGAGCCGGACGCUAGUUUGGCGAGGCGUGUGGGAUACUACCCUGCAUUAUGACACUCUAACCCGCACCACUAUGUGGUGGGAGACAGUGUCAGGUGGGCAGUUUGACUGGGGCGGUCGCCUCCAAAAGAUAACGGAGGCGCCCAAAGGUCCCUCAGAAUGGUUGGAAAUCAUUCGCAGAGUGUAAAGGCACAAGGGAGCUUGACUGCGAGACAGACAGGUCGAGCAGGGACGAAAGUCGGGCUUAGUGAUCCGGUGGUCCGAUGGAAGGGCCAUCGCUCAACGGAUAAAAGCUACCCUGGGGAUAACAGGCUUAUCUCCCCCAAGAGUCCACAUCGACGGGGAGGUUUGGCACCUCGAUGUCGGCUAUCGCAUCCUGGGGCUGUAGUGGUCCCAAGGGUGGGGGUUCGCCCAUUAAAGCGGUACGCGAGCUGGGUUCGAACGUCGUGAGACAGUUCGGUCCCUAUCCGUCGCGGGGCAGGAAAUUGAGAGGACUGUCCUUAGUACGAGAGGACCGGGAUGGACCUACCGCUGGUGUACCAGUUGUUCGCCAGGAGCUAGCUGGGUAGCUAGUAUGGAUGAGAUAAACGCUGAAAGCAUCUAAGGUGAAACUCGCCUCAGAUGAGAUUUCCCAUCUUCCUGGAGUAAGACCCCUCAGAGAUGAUGAGGUAGAUAGGAUGGAAGUGGAAGUGCAGGAGCAUGGAGCGGACCAAUACUAAUCGGUCGAGGACUUAACCAAGUU